Gallus gallus (chicken) is the source of this 2067-nucleotide long non-coding RNA. Lineage: Eukaryota; Metazoa; Chordata; Aves; Galliformes; Phasianidae. The record is from Ensembl.
CACAUCUCUGUGCCCCCGGGGCACUGGAACAGCUCAAAGCUGUGGCACAAUUUGAGGGCACUGUGCUGAAAAGUGAGCCCUGAGCAGCUGUUUGAGGAAGCAGAAUGUUUGGCUCAAAAAGAAUAUUGCUGUAUAAUCCCUCAGGCUUCUAGGGAGGAAACAGUGUCUCAUUAUAAUCCAAAAAGAGCCGGGAGUUGGGUUUGGUUCUUUUUUUUUUUUUUUUUUUUUUCAGUUUAACAUUAUUAAAAUGUAAAAUCUGUUGUGAUUCAUCCAAGGAAAGGCUCUGCUGCUUUUCUUCUGCUGCUUUGAGCAUCGUUACCGUGUGUGUCCAGUCUGAGCAGAAGCAGCAGGAAAGGAAAAGAAGAGGGGCAGAGGAAGAGGAAAAACCCAACCUCGUUCAGCAUGUUCUGCAAAUGCAGCUUCUUCUUCCGCAUGAGCAAACAGACCACGAUGGACUCCUGGGUGAUGGGUAGAGAAGUUCAGAAAGCUGCCAGGGAGCACCUAAUCCACGAGUCGGGACUGCUGAUGUUUGCUUCAGCCUGGUAUCCCAUGGUAGAGGCAUAAGGAUUAAGCAGGCUUUGGAAGGGGAGCUUGUCUUCAUAUCGGGAUGGGCAUUUCUUUGGACACACGGUCUUUGGGGUGAGAAGCCAUCAGCAGUCAGUCCUUGUUCCCAGAGAAAAGGAUAGAGAACCCAUUGGGAUGACCAGUGAUGUCAUCUCAUUUGACUUAAAUUGCAUGGACUUAAAUUGAAAUGAGUGGCAUUGGGGUUAGUCAGCAGAAGAAUGUUUCUUAGGGCGUGAUCAAGAAAAUGAAGCUCCAAUACCAGCUGGGUGAAGAAGCCACUGGAGCAACAUUACUGGAAGCUGACAUCCACUUGUUGGGAAGGCUCUAAGUGGGGGCUGGAGAAGCUCUCAGCAGUGCCUAUGGUCUUCUUCACUGCUUCAUAAAGCAGUGCUGGAGAAGAAAACCAAUUUCAGAUACAUGAAUCUCGAGAUCCUCCACCCAGGCCCUGUGAAUUUGUUGCCUUCAACCAUUGUACGCAGGCUGCUGUAGCUGGCACAGUUCCCCAGAUGCAGUUCAGGUUGUGGUCACCUACUACAGAGUGGCAGAAUAGGGACCAAGAACGUGGCCAGGAAACUUCAGGACUUCAGAUGUGGCUUUUGAGCUCUGUGACUUUCUUUAGUUCCCAGCUGGAUCUAUUCUUGUGGCUCCCAUUCUCUGCACACUGAUUGCCUGCUCUGGCUGUUGCAAGGCAGAAAGGCAAUAUAUCUGCCUAUAACAGCUGAAUUGGCCUGAGCUUUACAGAGCUAAUCAGCCAUGAAAAUGCCCCUCCUUGCUAUCCUGGAAGAAUUGACUUUAAUGAUGAGAGACAUUCUCUUUCCAGCCUGGUCAAAAGGGUAGGAGGCCUUCUGGGGAGAUUGCAGCUUGUCCUUGAGAGCAUCCCUUGCAGUCUGAGGCCUUGCUCAGAGCUUUCUUUUAACCCUCUCCUACCCUGCAGUCAGGAAUUGCCAGAGCUGAACUGCUGCACUCACACAAGGCCUGUGCACUUGCUUUAUAAUUCUUUCUCUCAGAGAUCUUCUUUCAGCACUGAACUGCUGGUGACUCCAUCCUCUUCCUCAUCUUCUGCACCCACAUCGCUCCUGGCACCUUUGGCCAUCAGGAUUGGGUGCAGCAGAUGAUCUUAGCGGUCUUUUCCAACCUUGAUGAUUCUAUGAUUCCAUGAUUUUACUUGUGUUUGGACAAAGAAAACUGGUGGGAAUGCUGCAGGUUUCUGGGAUAUUUGUCCCAUUGAUAGCACAGGUGGAGAAUCUUCUCCAUGCAGGAGCAAGUGGCUGCCACUGUGGUGUCCCAAAGGGAAUUCUGUGCAGUGGCUCAUGAUGAAGAUCCUCUUAGAGGUAAUAGCACCUAUGGACUGCAUAGCUGCACAGAAGCAAUGGGCAUCCUUCCUGGAAUCAUAGAAUCAUAGAAUCACAGAAUCAUUAAGGUUGGAAAAGAGCACUAAGACCACCUAGUCCAACCAUCAACCCAUCACCGCCAUGCCCACCAAACCGUGUCCCUCCUUCUUGG